UUUCCGUAGGUGAACCUGCGGAAGGAUCAUUAUUGAAUUUAAUGAGGAGUUGGUUGUUGCUGGCCUUGGGGUUUUUUUAAUUAAUUAUUCCAGGCACUUGUGCACGCCUUCUCUUUCAUCCACACACACCUGUGCACUUGUGAGACAGACUGUGGGGGACUUUAUUGGACUCCCGUCUGUCUACUUAAUUCACACACACUCUAUUUAAUUUAAACUGAAUGUAAUUGAUGUAACGCAUCUAAUACUAAGUUUCAACAACGGAUCUCUUGGCUCUCGCAUCGAUGAAGAACGCAGC
Molecule: unclassified non-coding RNA, 295 nt
Filed under: uncultured fungus
Lineage: Eukaryota; Fungi
Description: sequence contains ITS1, 5.8S rRNA gene
Rfam family: 5.8S ribosomal RNA (bases 247-295)
Source: RNAcentral